Molecule: long non-coding RNA, 2749 nt
Organism: Halichondria panicea
Lineage: Eukaryota; Metazoa; Porifera; Demospongiae; Suberitida; Halichondriidae
Exons: 6
Source: RefSeq, a predicted model, not a curated record
UACGCCCACCCUUUUCUGCAAGAAGUCUAGGCUUAUUAGGGAACUGGGCGUUUAAUCGCGAACGGCGAAUUUUCAUUCGAAUAUACGCCCACCCGCGGCCUCAAAUCGAGGUUUACACUUUGCUAUGCCAAUUCUUUAUGUAUUUUCAUUUUAACACAUAGUAUGAACAUUUUAUUGACAACAACAAUGUUAUAAACUAAUGCAUGAGUAUGAUUAAAGCAUGACAAGAGAAUGAACAUGAAAAAGUGGACUCUGACUCUAUUCGUUGCUUGUUGAUGUUAGAUGUAGCAGAAACUUCUCGAAGGAUGGUAGGUCAUACUCCUACAGAGCAGCUAUCAGGUACUUUGUUUCAGAAAACCAAGGCAAGGUAACCUGCAAAAUUAGCCUGUGUGAUAACUUUCUUGGACUUUGCGUUUUCCUUUCUCAGCAUAUAGGACUACUUGUUCCCUGUAUAUCAGGGGCAAACAGAUCCAUACAGUAUAAUGUCUGAUCUUGGUCCAGCAAGGAGUAUAGUCUUACUAGCUACUACCUAAAACUUCCUUUCUUCACUAAAAUUAAUAGUGAACAUGUGGCAUUCAGCUACUGCGCAUGCUCAACUUCUUAUUCUGGGUGGGCUUAUAAUCGAGUGAAAAUACCCUGUGUAAAAACUUCAAAGCAAAAGAGGGGAUGGGCGUUUAUUCAAGAUGGGCUUAUUUUCGCGAGGGUACGGUAUACACAUUAUUAAUGAACUAUGUAUACAAACGUUACUUUUUGACUUAAAAGAGUUACUGAUAACCACUGACAGUGUAAUAUGUAUCAAGAGCAGCCCAUCGUAACCAGAGUUACAAGAGCGUACAAGAAUUGUAUAGUCAUACGGUGUGGAGCUCGAUCUAAGAGAAACCACGGAUGUCCAAUUGGCUGAGGUCAUCUUUCACCAGACGUACAUCCAGCUCAGUUGCAGACUCGCCGACGUCACUCAGUCUCUGGGAUGCCUGUUCCGAUUCUCACCGAACACGAAUAAGACUGGUCAACAAGAAUUCUUUGUGAUGCGAGGAGAAGGAGGCGGAAUCACAGUGUCACAAUGUAACUCUCAACGUUCUGCAUACAGAUACGAUGGGCAUCAGCGUGUUUGAUAUCGAGAACAGUGACUCUGUGGGCAGCUUCAGGAUAGCUAGGUCACGAAGAUUGUGGGUAUGACCAACUUCACCAUGGCUACUGGUUGUGAAAUACCUGUACUUGUAGAUACUGUUGUGAUGACAACUCGGACCAAUAUGGUUGCUAUAGUGAUCCCUAUUGUGGUCAUUUUACUACUGUAGUUGCUGCUGUGUUGGUAACAGUGAUUUUGCUGAUUUAUUGUAAGAUGCAUCGCAAAAGCACAGAAUAACUGAAAGGCAAGUUAAGUCUUACGGCUGAGACUGACGGCAUCACGUACACAUGCACAGUGGAUAUCAACACGAUGGAUCUCACAAACAAAACGGUGAAGAUACCUACCAUCUCCCCAUCAGUCAGUGCUGAGCGUGACCUCAGUAGUAGUCCUCCCACAUCCACUCAACCCCCACCACACCUCCUGCUGACGCUACUGCUGGUGGCCCUCCGCACCCGUCCAACUACGUUCCCUUAGUUCCCUUAGUGACCUCGAAGACCAGCAGUCAAACGAAGCUUAACGGAAGGGUCCCCUGGUUCAGACAGCUAGCAGCCUCUACUGUCAGGAAGAACGGUCUCUAGAAGUGCCAUUCAGCUAAGGUUCCAGAAAGGCUCUUUUUGAAGCUAAAAGUCGACAAAAAAACAGCUUCUGGAAGAAAUACGAGGUCUAAAAAUCACACAAAUCGAUACAUUCACGAUUAACAGUCAUGACCCGUCAGCUAGUAAAGAAGACACAGCCCCUCUACUAAGGACGUAUUCUAAACUAUACUUUAUAGUGACGAUCUGCUCGAAGCUAUCAGCGAGGGUUCGUUGGAGGAUAUUCAUGAAGAAAGUGAGAAAGUCGGAUCAAGGAAUGCCUACCUUUCAUUGAAAAAAUGAAGGGGCUUGCUCAAAAACAAGGGUAAGAAGAGACUGAGUAUCAAAUUUGUAACAUUGGUUGUGAAGAUGCUUCCCUGGAUUCAGUCAUACUUCAGAACUUGUCGAAGGCCCUCCUAACAAGUAUAGUAUCACUGCUGACGAGCAAGCAUGCGAGGUUACUGAGGAAGCGUCAGAACUAGGAAACCUAGAACUACGAAAAACUUACAAAUGAUGGCCUGCAACCUUUCGAUUUUAUUCUAAUGGCCAACUGUACCUACCAUGCCUCAGUACUUGAUCCAAUGCUCACAGGUGCCACGCAGCUACUGCAUGAAGCCUGGCACAGGGGAGCUGGUUAUUAUUAGCUCCAGUCGACAGUCGCUUUACGAGCUGAUUACAAGAUUUUACUCGCACCAACGUACAUACGAGCUGUACACAGCGGAGACAGUAACAGCUACACUGGAGAAACUAGGCAUCAAGUACAAAGUGGAACAUGAGACCACUUCAAUUGAUCUGGCUCAACAAUUUUCUGAGGGAUUUUCAAGUGAAAAAGCUAGCCGCUAUGAUUUAGGAUCACUUUGUGUUUACAAAGCUAACAUAAUUCUCCUAAAGUUGCCAAGCUGUGUAUAGAGUUUCUAAGAUCUGUUUCUAUACUAGUAACAGAGUUGUUAUAUAUACAUCAGUGAGUGACAUGAUUCUAGUUCGUUGAAUUCGUAUAACUAUUGUUGUGUUAAUUCCAAAAUUAAUGAUGACUCAGAGUACCAACAUUUCA